Megachile rotundata (alfalfa leafcutting bee) is the source of this 2907-nucleotide long non-coding RNA. The record is from RefSeq and is a predicted model, not a curated record. NCBI's taxonomy places the organism in Eukaryota, Metazoa, Arthropoda, Insecta, Hymenoptera, Megachilidae.
UUGAUCUUUCCUGCUGCCGCUUUCUUGCCGUGGCGGAUCGCGAGCGACGAUCGAACACGGAGCACGGACUCGCGAACGCGCGCCAGCAACCGGAAACAAAGUGUACCGCGAACUAACGCGGCAGAGGUGCUCGCAACUUUCGUGUGGAAUGUCCGGCGUGAGUUGCGUGGCCAACCGUCCGUGCGGCUAAGCCCAGGUGUAGCCGCUAAGGCGCCAUUGCCUGGCGUUGGCACGUUACCUGCUUCGCCGAUGGGAGGGGAGUCGUGGACGACACCGAGAGAGGGGGUUACCCUGGAACAGAGAAAGCUUGACUUUCGACCGGUCGACCGAACGAGAAAGAAAAUGGAGAGGGAGAGCCACGGGAGAGAGGCGAAUUACGGUAAGUGGGAAGCAAGUGGCCCGGAAACGAAAUACUCGACGCUGACACGCUGCGUUUCCUCAAAGCAUGGAAAUUGACCUCGAACCAGAAAAACGCCUCUUGUCCUGUGCUGCCGCUUCAAACGACCCGAGCCACCGUGACGAACCGCCAAACGAGCAUUUACCGACGCUUCUUCCAUAUUUUUCUCCUACACUUUAAACCGGUGGAGUGUCCGCGAAUUUCGCUGUACGUUGCGGGACUCGAAUUAUAAGAGAGUACAGUAAUUUUCGGCGUUUCCAAAUUCAUCCAGAGUCGUCGAAUCGAGAUAAGAAUCGUUUCGACGUCGCGUUACGACGUAGGAGAAUAUCGGUUUUUUCCGAACGAAUCGCUAAAGCUGGAGGACGUUAAUUUACAACGGCGGUAUUCACGUUGGAUUGUUGCACCGGCGACGAGACCACCUGUACCGCCAUUAAUUUCAUUCCUGGGGAAAGAUGGAUCUUACGGGGUUGCGCAAUGCUCGUUGUCUUUCUCUCCUUUAAUUACACAUCUUCCUGAGAAGGGUCCCAGACCAUUUCCGACCAUUCUACGUGUCCGAAGGUCUUCUCUUUUGUUACCGAGAUAUUCUUGAGAACGAUUCUUCUCCCGCGUGUGGCAAAAAACCGCGAGAUUCUAAUCGUUAAUUGCGCGAGUUUCGUCAACGGAGUCGCGGGAAAUGUUCCUCUCUCGGUUCGUCUUUUAGCGAAUCUGUCGAGUUCGCGGAACGGAUGUUUCGGCUUGAAAUUUCGGUCGUUUAAACGAAAGUACAUAACCCGUGUGCGAGAGGUCCGUUGUUCGACGCGAACGUACAAGGAGAGAUUGCAAAGCUUUUGACGCGUCGGACGGUGAAUUAUCCGACACACGGGUAAAUAACCGAGAAUCGUCUGCUAACUCAAUUUGCUGGUCCCCUGUCAAAUCCAAUUAACGGCGAGCUACUGGGCUUCCCGGAUAAUCGGCCGCUCCCCGCAAUUUAAUUCGACGCGUUUCACCCUCAAACGUUUUGAUUUCGAUUUACGGACAGCUUUCGAGAAGAUUAUCUUAGAAGUUCGUCACCGUUGCUGUCUACUUCUGGAUGCUGCUACACCGAACGCUGCUCGAUUUAUUUUCGACGAAACUUCGUUACACGAUUAUUUAUCGGUACCGAUGAAUUCGGCUCGUUUGCAACUGCCGAUAAAUCGAGUCAUCCAUCUUUCGAAAAACCCUAACGUAUGUAGCGUUAGGAGCGCGAACUUCGUUUACGAGUAGAAAAACAAAGAAUCGUAGCAGAUUUACGGAGUCGAACGUGACGUACAAUUUAUUUUUGGAAACGAGAUUUCGUAACAAAGAGUACAUUCGUAUUUGAUGAACGGUGUUGAAUAAGUUCGCGGUCGUAGAAGCAUUCAUCUCUUUCGGGGAAAUAUAGAUAAGACUCCCGUGAUAAGAGUUACAGUUACGACAGAAGGUUUCUGUUGCCCUCCGUUAAAUGUCACGUUUCUACGUACAGGUAGAACGAUAAACACGCGGGAAUAGCACUCAUUGCUUCGCGUUAUGCUUGUUAUCGCUAACCGUGUCGCGAAAAAUGAACUAUUCUCGGUCAUUUCUCUCUAGUCGAUGUUCCUCUUUCCUUCUCUUUAUUCCUCUCGUGGCUUCGUUCCCGCGGUGCUUUUAUCGAAUAAUUCCUCGUUAGCAUUUCUACCAACAACGCCCUUUUCCUUCGUACAAAAUCGUUAUGUAUUACUGCCAUAAUUUCACUCGGUCCUAACGAUCCGAAAUGUUUCGAUCGAGUUCUCGUUCUAAUUAAACAAAAAACGAGGACAGCUGGCAUACAGGAAGGAAAAGAAAGAUCUAAGAGGAGGCGAAAGACACGGGGGUUAGUUACGUAACGAGACGGUGCGUCGUGUUUAUAAUUAGUCGCAAACUAUUUGGAAAAACGAAACCGAGCGUGUUGGAGGCCAUUGUCCGUGCACGCGUGUAUCGAGCACGUCAAUAAAAACUGUUUAUUCGUAACAACGAUUACCGUUAUCGCGUUUACAGAGUCCCUCUUUCAGAUUUGUUUGAUUCGUCGCUGGUUGCCAGUGUCCCGCUGAAAAAUCGAUUUUAAUUAAAACGCAAUUUAUUAGAGUAACCCGCGCAAAGAGCGGAACCGCGGGCCACGCGACCGAACGCGCCAUGCAAUUAUUUAAAUUAGCGGCCGUAGUUAUUUUUCGAAUCAAUAUUUCCCGUUGUACGCUAUAACUCGUUGAUUUCGCGUACCUACCAUCGAAUACCAAUCGGGAUUCGAUGGAAUUGCUCUUCGCUUGUGGACCGUUACGGGUCACGCCUUUGUACGCCACGGACAUUUAAUUGUUUCGUCAAUACGUCAUCAUGAUAUUGCAUGCGUUUCGAUUAAACGAUACGUUUAUAAUGUAUACGUUUGUGUUUGGAGUUGAUAAGCUUCCGUCAUUACGAUAACUGAUUUCAAUUUACAUCGUGCUAUGGAUUUUUUUAGACCAUCCAUACAGUACCGCUUAACGUCCUGCAAGCGGCACAUGCAC